UGGGGAAUAUUGGACAAUUGGCGAAAGCCUGAUCCAGCCAUGCCGCGUGUGUGAAGAAGGUCUUCGGAUUGUAAAGCACUUUAAGUUGGGAGGAAGGGCAGUAAGCGAAUACCUUGCUGUUUUGACGUUACCGACAGAAUAAGCACCGGCUAACUCUGUGCCAGCAGCCGCGGUAAUACAGAGGGUGCAAGCGUUAAUCGGAAUUACUGGGCGUAAAGCGCGCGUAGGUGGUUCGUUAAGUUGAAUGUGAAAGCCCCGGGCUCAACCUGGGAACUGCAUACAAAACUGGCGAGCUAGAGUAGGGCAGAGGGUGGUGGAAUUUCCUGUGUAGCGGUGAAAUGCGUAGAUAUAGGAAGGAACACCAGUGGCGAAGGCGACCACCUGGGCUCAUACUGGCACUGAGGUGCGAAAGCGUGGGGAGCAAACAGG
RNAcentral lists this ribosomal RNA (429 nucleotides) under Pseudomonadota bacterium. Its description in RNAcentral is "Proteobacteria bacterium partial 16S ribosomal RNA". It matches the Rfam family "Bacterial small subunit ribosomal RNA", at positions 355 to 776 of the family's 1533-position model. Lineage: Bacteria; Pseudomonadati; Pseudomonadota. The record is from RNAcentral.